GACGAACGCUGGCGGCGUGCUUAACACAUGCAAGUCGAACGGAAAGGCCCUGCUUUUGUGGGGUGCUCGAGUGGCGAACGGGUGAGUAACACGUGAGUAACCUGCCCUUGACUUUGGGAUAACUUCAGGAAACUGGGGCUAAUACCGGAUAGGAGCUCCUGCUGCAUGGUGGGGGUUGGAAAGUUUCGGCGGUUGGGGAUGGACUCGCGGCUUAUCAGCUUGUUGGUGGGGUAGUGGCUUACCAAGGCUUUGACGGGUAGCCGGCCUGAGAGGGUGACCGGCCGCAUUGGGGCUGUGAUACGGCCCGGACUCUUGCGGGAGGCAGCCGGGGGGAAGAUUGCACAAUGGGCGGAAGCCUAUUGCGGCGACGCCGCGUGCGGGAUGACGGCCUUCGGGUUGUAGACCGCUUUCGCGUGUGACGAAGCGUGAGUGACGGUAAUGGGUAAAGAAGCACCGGCUAACUGCGU
This 467-nucleotide ribosomal RNA is filed under the name uncultured bacterium. Its description in RNAcentral is "partial 16S ribosomal RNA". It matches the Rfam family "Bacterial small subunit ribosomal RNA", at positions 28 to 506 of the family's 1533-position model. The record is from RNAcentral.